This 468-nucleotide ribosomal RNA is filed under the name uncultured bacterium. RNAcentral's name for it is "partial 16S ribosomal RNA". It matches the Rfam family "Bacterial small subunit ribosomal RNA", at positions 28 to 507 of the family's 1533-position model. The record is from RNAcentral.
GACGAACGCUGGCGGCGUGCUUAACACAUGCAAGUCGAACGGAAAGGCCCUGCUUUUGUGGGGUGCUCGAGUGGCGAACGGGUGAGUAACACGUGAGUAACCUGCCCUUGACUUUGGGAUAACUUCAGGAAACUGGGGCUAAUACCGGAUAGGAGCUCCUGCUGCAUGGUGGGGGUUGGAAAGUUUCGGCGGUUGGGGAUGGACUCGCGGCUUAUCAGCUUGUUGGUGGGGUAGUGGCUUACCAAGGCUUUGACGGGUAGCCGGCCUGAGAGGGUGACCGGCCACAUUGGGACUGAGAUACGGCCCAGACUCCUACGGGAGGCAGCAGUGGGGAAUAUUGCACAAUGGGCGGAAGCGUGAUGCAGAAACGCCGCGUGCGGGAUGACGGCCUUCGGGUUGUAAACCGCUUUCGCCUGUGACGAAGCGUGAGUGACGGUAAUGGGUAAAGAAGCACCGGCUAACUACGUG